Molecule: RNA transcript, 3822 nt
Organism: Rhinolophus ferrumequinum (greater horseshoe bat)
Lineage: Eukaryota; Metazoa; Chordata; Mammalia; Chiroptera; Rhinolophidae
Gene: PHYHD1
Gene name: phytanoyl-CoA dioxygenase domain containing 1
Exons: 14
Source: RefSeq, a predicted model, not a curated record
ACGUGAGCUGGACAGAGCGGCUGUGACGUGUCGGGCGUGGGCCCUAGCCAGGGCCUCCACAGUCGGCAUAUUCUCUGCCGGCCCAGGCGUGGUUUGGGCCCUCAUGGGCUUUGAUGGGAAGGGGGAGGGAGGGGAAGGCACUGAAAUGGGAGUCAGUAGUCUGAGGGCCUUCAGUCAUCCAUUCAGUCAUCCCCUAAAUGAAGCUGGGCAGGCUCGUUCCCUCCCGUGGCCUCCAUAGCUCCAUCUGUACAAUGGGAAUUUCCACUCGGUGCUCUCAUAGGUCACUGUCAUACCAACAGCCAGUCCCCCAGGCUCUGCAAAGGUGGGGCUGAAGUCACACGGGAGAGCCCGACCUGCUCCCAGCCCCUCUGAGGGCCUGCUGAAAGUGCUGGGGUCCAGGGCGGAGGCUCAGGGAGAUGGGCAGAGCUGCCUUCAGAUACUAGCUCUGCUAUUUAUCUGAUGUUGGGCCUCAAUGUCCUCAUUUGUAAAGUCAGGAUGCUGUUGGCAAUCUUGCAGGAUUGUCCUGAGGCUUACACAUGAUAAUUAUGCAGGUCGGCGGAGUUUUCAGCAGAGACCUGGCUCCUAGUACCCAAUAAACGACAUCUUUAUCCUGGACCAGCGAGGCUUGCCCUGGGCUUAUGUAGGGGCCCUGGGGCGGUGGUCUUUUGGUGAAGGAGAAAUGCGCUUGGGUCUGACCUUGUCCUUAGCAAUGAGGCCUUACCUGUUGCUUGGGUACCUCCUCUGGGACAGGCCAGAGUCUAUCCCCCCUAACUCCAUGGGCUCUGACCCCUGCAGAUGACCUCAGGACUUUGUCCCUCUGCCCUGGUUGUGGGCUUUCUGACUAGGAGACUGAGCAACGGGCCAGGACCCCCUCUAAGCCCCUUUGGGUCCCCACAGUGGAGGCCUUCCCUUCCUGUCUGGUCUGGCCCUCCCUACCAACUCCCAUGCCCUCUCCCCAGCCUUGGGGCCACCCAGUGCUCAGAGCAGGAAUGUUUGAUCUGAAGCUGGUUAGCUUUUGAAAAAACCAACACCACCCACCCACUUCUCAAAGCCUGAGCUUUGAGAAUGAAGGAACAAAAUCGAGGGAGGCCCAGCUCCUCCCCCUCUUAUACCCUCCACCCCAGGACUCGCCACCCCACUUAAAACCACAAGGGUGGUCUUUUUUCUGAUUACAACAGCAAUUGGAAAACUUGCGGAAGUUCAAAAAAUAAAAUUAAAAUACCCUCACAUUCUACCCAGUACAGCCCCUGCUAACUUUUGGUGAAUAGUUGGUAUUUACUAAGAGCCAGGCCCCGCGUCAAGCUCUUUAUCAGCAGUAAAGCAUCGUCCUCCUUACAAGAGGUACUUCUUAUCCCCAAAUUACAGAUGGGGAAAGUAAGGCGUGCGUGAGGACUGACCCCAGUCUGCCUCAUUGACUCGCCACUACUAGCCUUUGGUGGGGUUCCCAGGAGAUUUGCUAGUCCACCCCAAGGGACCCUCACUGUACUCCUGGCACGUGCCCCUGUUGAGUGGCUGCAUCAGAAGGGGCCAGGACAGAGAGCUGAGUCUCCGCUGGAUUUCCCACAUGGGUCUUUUGCCUGCCCUCCUCACCCAGCCUAACCCCUCUGAACCUCUUGUCCCUGCAGCCUCAGGAGCCUGGCGAGGCAAGCAGCGACUCCCAGUGCGCUGGCCCAGAAAACACAAUGUGACUCUGGGCCAAGGCUCCUGGGGGCUGAGCUGUGUCCCCAUGUUCACUCCCGAGACACUCUGUCCCUUCGCCAUUCAGAAAGCAUCAUUUCAGGGACAGCCAGUGCUGCUUUUCAGAGCUGCAGCCAGAAUAGCCUGUCUACUGAGCAGGGCCAGCUAGUUGGGUGGGUGUAUGUGUGCUGUUCCAACCUAUGGCCUCCACUGGACCAGCCUAACUCGAGACACCAAACAUCGUGGGCCUGGGGUGGGGGUGGAGAACAGGAACCAUGGCUCUCCCUCGUGCUGAGAAUCCAAGCCCCCACUCCCUAGCCCCUUCCUUCUUCUAAGAUCGCCUUUAUCUUCUGCCUUCCUCUGAGCUGCCGGCUAAUGUACAGCCUCCCUUCCAUAAUCCUCCCAGGACCUAGAGAAUUUCAGAGCUGGGAAGAGCCCAGACAGCUCCCUGAGGACCUCUUCCACCUUUGGAAUGCAAAGUCACACAGGGCCAGUCUGGUGUGCACGCCCCCCAGACCCACACUGCAUUCCCUCUCCUUCCCCCCCAAGUGUUGAUGCUGGUGGCCUGGGAACUUUCUAAUCCCCAACUGUCAGAGGUCACAGUUAGUGGUGGCAUCUGGACUGGCAUUCAGGUGUCCUCCUGUUGGCCCAGCUUCUUUGCCCAGAUACUCCUGGAAUUCAACUUCUGGGCACCUGCCUUGGGCUCAGCACGCAGCAGAGCUACCGUGAGCCCAGCCUCCUUCUCAUGGCCUGCCUGAGCCUCUCGCAGCUCCAGAAGUUCCAGGAGGAUGGAUUCCUGGUGUUGGAAGGAUUCUUUUCUGCAGACGAGUGUGUGGCCAUGCAACAGAGGAUUGGUGAGAUCGUGGCCAAGAUGGACGUCCCUGUCCACUGCCGCACGGAAUUUUCCACCCAGGAAGAGGAGCAGCUGCGAGCCCAGUUCUCCUGCCACAAAGAGCCUCCUGUGGUCAGCAACCCAGGAGCCUGUGAUUCUGAUGGCAGCACAGACUAUUUCUUGAGCAGUGGUGACAAGAUUCGAUUCUUCUUUGAGAAAGGCGUUUUUGACAAGAAAGGAAAUUUCCUGGUCCCUCCAGAGAAAUCCAUCAACAAAAUUGGCCACGCUCUGCACGCCCAUGACCCUGUCUUCAAGCGUGUCACACACUCCCCCAAGGUGCAGGCCUUGGCCAGAAGUCUGGGCCUCCAGAUGCCUAUGGUGGUGCAGAGCAUGUACAUCUUUAAGGUUUCAAGGCCCAGCUCAGUGCCACCUCCACCAAGAAGACUUCCAGCUCCCUUGGGAAGAGAAGGACCGGCCUGGUCCCAGCCUCUUCUGCUGCCCCUCACUUCUGCCUGGUGUUUUGUUAGCAACCUCGCUUUGGCGGUGAAGUCUCCCCUCACCAGGACGCCUCCUUCCUCUACACGGAGCCCCUGGGCCGGGUGUUGGGCCUGUGGAUCGCAGUGGAGGACGCCACGCUGGAGAAUGGCUGCCUCUGGUUCAUCCCUGGCUCCCAUACCAGUGGAGUGUCGAGAAGGAUGGUCCGGGCCCCUGCUGGUUCAGCACCUGGCACCUGCUUCCUGGGGUCAGAGCCGGCCCGGGAUAACAGCCUCUUUGUACCCACACCAGUGCAGAGAGGAGCCCUUGUCCUAAUCCAUGGAGAAGUGGUGCACAGGAGCGAGCAAAACCUCUCCAACCGUUCACGCCAGGCCUACACUUUCCACCUCAUGGAGGCUUCUGGCACCAUCUGGAGCCCGGAGAACUGGCUCCAGCCAACAGCCGAGCUGCCCUUUCCCCCCCUGUACACCUAAAGGCCCUUGUGAGGCUGGGCACGGUCCCUUCCCAAGGGAAGCUGUGGGCUGCAGACACCAGUGCCUCAUCCGACCGCCCAGCUGCAAUGGGGAAGUCACAUCUCUCCUGUGGGCGUUCCUUCUGCCAGUGUCUGUGCCCCUUGGCCCUGCAGUCGGGCAGGCAAGGGGUGGCAGCCGGGCAGCAGGAGCCCGGCUGGAGGCCUUUCCCAAGAUCUGUCUGACCCCUGCCCCCACACAGCCCCCUCCUACAGGCAGCCUCCCAGGCACUUCUCUGCCAGACACUUACUCUCUCAGAUAGAGCUCUAUGUGGUGUAAGACACUGAAUAAAAAUGACUUCUGAGUGCA